Molecule: ribosomal RNA, 884 nt
Filed under: Saccharata intermedia
Lineage: Eukaryota; Fungi; Ascomycota; Dothideomycetes; Botryosphaeriales; Saccharataceae
Description: eukaryotic LSU rRNA
Rfam family: Eukaryotic large subunit ribosomal RNA
Source: RNAcentral
UAUCAAUAAGCGGAGGAAAAGAAACCAACAGGGAUUGCCUCAGUAACGGCGAGUGAAGCGGCAACAGCUCAAAUUUGAAAUCUGGCCCUUUCAGGGUCCGAGUUGUAAUUUGUAGAGGAUGUUUCGGCGAGUGCUCCCGUCUAAGUUCCUUGGAACAGGACGUCAUAGAGGGUGAGAAUCCCGUAUGUGAUGGGUUGCGCGAGCCAUGUGAAACUCCUUCGACGAGUCGAGUUGUUUGGGAAUGCAGCUCUAAAUGGGAGGUAAAUUUCUUCUAAAGCUAAAUACCGGCCAGAGACCGAUAGCGCACAAGUAGAGUGAUCGAAAGAUGAAAAGCACUUUGGAAAGAGAGUUAAAAAGUACGUGAAAUUGUUGAAAGGGAAGCGCUUGCAACCAGACUUGCCCGCAGUUGCUCAGCCCGCCUCCUGGCGGGCGCACUCUUCUGCGGUCAGGCCAGCAUCAGUUCGGGCGGCCGGAUAAAGGCGUCGGGAAUGUAGCUCCUCUCGGGGAGUGUUAUAGCCCGGCGUGACAUGCGGCCAGCCUGGACUGAGGAUCUCGCUUCGGCUAGGAUGCUGGCGUAAUGGUUGUAAGCGGCCCGUCUUGAAACACGGACCAAGGAGUCUAACAUCUAUGCGAGUGUUUGGGUGUCAAACCCAUGCGCGUAAUGAAAGUGAACGGAGGUGGGAACGCGCGAGCGUGCACCAUCGACCGAUCCUGAUGUCUUCGGAUGGAUUUGAGUAAGAGCAUAGCUGUUGGGACCCGAAAGAUGGUGAACUAUGCCUGAAUAGGGUGAAGUCAGAGGAAACUCUGAUGGAGGCUCGCAGCGGUUCUGACGUGCAAAUCGAUCGUCAAAUUUGGGUAUAGGGGCGAAAGACUAAUCGAUCCUU